RNA transcript from Canis lupus familiaris (dog), 3709 nucleotides. It is a transcript of the gene named casein kinase 2 alpha 2, with no coding region annotated. The record is from RefSeq and is a predicted model, not a curated record. The transcript is spliced from 14 exons. Lineage: Eukaryota; Metazoa; Chordata; Mammalia; Carnivora; Canidae.
ACCACGCCGCUACCUGCCGCUGCUGCUUGCGCCGCGCUUCCUCCGCCGUUGGCGCUGUGCCAAGCACGGUUGAGGCAAGUCCUUGCAACGCUCUCGUAACAUUCUCUCUUAUUCUGCUUAUUCUCCAAGUAGAGGAAACAGACCCGGAAAGUUCAUUUGACUUGUCGGAGUGUCUUCCUUCCCCCGCCUCGCUGUGAGGCCGCUAUGUCUGCUCACCCCCUGGUGCUUCACCCACACUAACUGCAGUUUCUCUCAGACACCGAUAUCCUGCAUUCCUAGAAGGGAAAAGCUGACCGAUUAUUAAAUGGUAUAAAUUCAAGAGACAACCCUAAAUAGGCACCGAAACAGCCAUUAUGUGCUGGGGGAACGUAAGGAACAGACAAUCCUGAAUCCAGCUCUCGCUUCAGAUUAAGUGAGGGAAAGAGCCCCUAAACCCACUGUUGCAAGUGGAGUGACGAGAGCAACAAUGUGGUGCCUCACAGUUUUUCACAGCCAUCAUUUCAUUUAAUCCUCAAAACAGUCUUAUGAAAUUAGUAUUACUGUCUUCAUUUCACGGAUCAGGAACUGAGCAGUAGCUUGGCGGAGUUGGUCGUGGUCACACAGGAAUGGAAUCAAGGUCUGGCCGAACCCGAAGCUCCUACAGUCAGGUUCUACACUGAUGUGUGCCCCGCAAGGACCCGCAGGGCGGCAGCCUGGCGUUCUGUCUGCCCGCCCUGGGAUGGAAGAAGGCCAAGAUGAAUAAAUGGGAUAAAUACCUACCUUAUGGGCAGCCAGAGAGAUUCACGAAAGCAGAGGGAAGGUAUAGAAGAGAGGUCAGGAGAUGUCAUUCUUCGUCUAGUUCUGACACUGCAUUGUCUUCACUCCCACCUGGGAGGUAAUCAAGAUGAUUACCAACUGGUUCGAAAACUUGGUCGGGGAAAGUAUAGUGAAGUAUUUGAGGCCAUUAACAUCACCAACAAUGAGAGAGUGGUUGUAAAAAUUCUCAAGCCAGUGAAGAAAAAGAAGAUAAAACGAGAGGUUAAGAUUCUGGAGAACCUUCGUGGUGGAACAAAUAUCAUUAAGCUGAUUGACACUGUGAAGGACCCUGUGUCAAAGACACCAGCUUUGGUAUUUGAAUAUAUCAAUAAUACAGAUUUUAAGCAACUUUACCAGAUCCUGACAGACUUCGAUAUCCGGUUUUAUAUGUAUGAGCUACUUAAGGCUCUGGAUUACUGCCACAGCAAGGGAAUCAUGCACAGGGAUGUGAAACCUCACAAUGUCAUGAUAGAUCACCAACAGAAAAAGCUGCGGCUCAUAGACUGGGGUCUGGCAGAGUUCUACCACCCUGCUCAGGAGUACAAUGUCCGUGUAGCAUCGAGGUACUUCAAGGGACCGGAGCUCCUUGUGGACUAUCAGAUGUACGAUUACAGCUUGGACAUGUGGAGUUUGGGCUGUAUGUUAGCAAGCAUGAUCUUUCGAAAGGAGCCCUUCUUUCACGGACAGGACAACUAUGACCAGCUUGUUCGCAUUGCCAAGGUUCUGGGUACAGAUGAGCUGUAUGGGUAUCUGAAGAAGUAUCACAUAGACCUAGAUCCGCACUUCAACGAUAUCCUGGGACAACAUUCACGGAAACGCUGGGAAAACUUUAUCCACAGUGAGAACAGACACCUCGUCAGCCCUGAGGCCCUAGAUCUUCUGGACAAACUUCUGCGAUACGACCAUCAACAGAGACUGACCGCCAAAGAGGCCAUGGAGCAUCCCUACUUCUACCCCGUGGUAAAGGAGCAGUCCCAGCCUUGUGCAGACAAUGCUGUGCUUUCCAGUGGCCUCACGGCAGCCCGGUGAAAACUUGGAAGGCGACGGGUCUGUUGCGGUUCCUCCCACUUUUCCAUAAGCAGAACAAGAACCAAAUCAAACGUCUUAACGUGUGUAGAGAGAUCACGUUCCGUGAGCAGACACAAAAUGGUGGCAGGUUUGGCCAGCACGAACCAGACCAACUGAAGGGCAGCCCACCACCGUAUAUCAAACCUCACUUCCGAAUGUAAAAGGUUCACACGCCUUUGGCUUCCUGUUGACUUCCUCCUGACCCAGAAAGCAUGGGAAAUGUGAAGGGUGACUGUGGGAACCAGGUGUGGACACUCACAGUUUCUGAAGCAAUUGUGGGGGGAAAAGCAAAGAGGCCCCUCGGGGUCACCGCAGCAUCACAGUGUCCCUUGGAGCAGCUUCUGUCGUAUGCAAGCAGUUCCACAGGUGUGGGAGCCUGAGACAGUGCCUGCCCCCCGGACAUCAGCGAGGAGGGCCCGCAGGCCCACUGCCAGCAGACUUUGUAAGGCCGACAGGACGCCGAGUGGAUGGACUUGGGACUUUGCAGCACCAUCACUGGCCUGGUUUUCUCAAGUGGGCUCUCUCAUGCGGCCCUUCUGACUCAAGGCUCUGCAAAUGACCAGGUCUCUGGGGGACGGCAUCUCCAUAUCUUGGUCUAAUGAGCACGUCUCUGAAGCUCCUACCGACACGGUGCUUUGCAUGUGCAUGUUUGUCUACAUAGCACGUUCCCUUCGCAUUGACCCGCCAGCAUUUGAUAGCCUUCCCAGAGGAUAAGGGUCUGUCCAGAGUAGACACGGUUGAUUGACUUGGGAAUUCUUAGAUGCCAUGCAGAACUUGAAUGCUAGCUCCCCAUUUAUCCUCUCAACCAAGGUGCUCUUUAAUUUCCCAGUGGGAAAGUCUUCUUUUCCAGAAACCUCUCAAGCAUAUCAGAUAAGUUUCUUUUUUGUGUGGAUGAUUACUAUUGGGUGGGAGAGAGUUUUUGCUUAGGCUUUUUUGACCUUGAGGGAAGGGGACAAGGGACCUGCUUACCCAAAAACAGUCUGUAAAGCUCAUCCACAACGUGCUUGGAGAUCCAGAACAUCAAUUCACAUCUUUCAAUGUUCACGCUUGUGUUUUGGGCUGUUUAAUGUUUAUUUAACUUUUCUGAUGACCAAAGUAAUAAUGCUGGUGGCAAAAAAUUCAAAUGUUGCAAAAAGUAAAUCAUGAACACCUUCCCCCACCACACCCAACUCCCAUCCUACCACAAACACAUAGGAAAACUCUUUCCUCCCUUGGAGGAAGCCAUGGUUAAAUUUGGCAUCUAUCUUGUGGAAUUUCUUUCUUCACAUUUACUAACAUCAAGAUGAUUUUUAUUUUUACAGAAAUGUAAUCAAACUAUACAUCUUUUUUUUUUUUUUUUGCAACUUGUGCUUUCACUGAGUUGUGACAAUUUCACUGUUAGCACGUAAAGAUCUACCUCACCCCUUUUCAUGGCUGUGUGGUGUUCCAGUGUGUGAUGUACUACAUGCAAAGCAAUCCCUUACUGAUGAUUGACUCUAUUACCAGUACUGCUGCAGUGAACACAUUUGCACAUAACAUUUUUACACAGUUCAUUGUGUUUGUGAGAUAAAAUCUUUAAAAAGAAUUACUGUGCUCUAUGCUUUGUUUUGUUUUGGAAAGAGCAUUGCUAUGAUUCAGAGAAAGCAGUCUUCUCUUCCCUUCUUUCACUGGUGUAGGUCAGAACCGUGAUGCCUUUAGCCUUGGAAUUCUUGUGGGGCUCUGUUAGGCACUUGAGACACGGUGUCCAGAGUCUUUGAGCUUUCCAGGGAAACACGAAUGUUUGAAACCUGAAAAAGCAUUGGUGCUCACAUAAGAAAGCUACAAAGUAAAAAAUCAAUAAAUGUACUUACAUGUCUUUCCAAUCCUA